This 467-nucleotide ribosomal RNA is filed under the name uncultured bacterium. RNAcentral describes it as "partial 16S ribosomal RNA". It matches the Rfam family "Bacterial small subunit ribosomal RNA", at positions 28 to 507 of the family's 1533-position model. The record is from RNAcentral.
GACGAACGCUGGCGGCGUGCUUAACACAUGCAAGUCGAACGGAAAGGCUCCAGCUUGCUGGAGUACUCGAGUGGCGAACGGGUGAGUAACACGUGGGUAAUCUGCCCUGCACUCUGGGAUAAGCCUGGGAAACUGGGUCUAAUACUGGAUAUGACCUUUCUCCUUAUGGGGUUUGGUGGAAAGUUUUUCGGUGUAGGAUGGGCCCGCGGGCUAUCAGCUUGUUGGUGGGGUGAUGGCCUACCAAGGCGACGACGGGUAGCCGGGCCGAGAGGGGGAGCGGGCACACUGGGACAGAGAUACGGGCCAGAGUCCUACGGGGGGGAGAAGUGGGGAAAAUUGCACAAUGGGCGGAAGCCUGAUGCAGCAACGCCGCGGGCGGGAGGAGGGCCCUUGGGGUGUAAAACGCUUUUGCCGGUGACGAAGCGUGAGUGACGGUAACGGGGAAAGAAGCACCGGCUAACUACGUG